Molecule: unclassified non-coding RNA, 92 nt
Organism: Nomascus leucogenys (northern white-cheeked gibbon)
Lineage: Eukaryota; Metazoa; Chordata; Mammalia; Primates; Hylobatidae
Rfam family: Y RNA
About the family: Y RNAs are components of the Ro ribonucleoprotein particle (Ro RNP), in association with Ro60 and La proteins. The Y RNAs and Ro60 and La proteins are well conserved, but the function of the Ro RNP is not known.
Source: Ensembl
GGUUGGUCCCAUGGUAGUGGGUUAUCAGAACUUAUUAACAUUAGUGUCACUAAAGUUUGUAUACAACCCCUGAGUGCUAAAUUUGGCUUUAA